UACGUAGGGCGCAAGCGUUAUCCGGAAUUAUUGGGCGUAAAGAGCUCGUAGGCGGUUUGUCGCGUCUGCCGUGAAAGUCCGGGGCUCAACUCCGGAUCUGCGGUGGGUACGGGCAGACUAGAGUGAUGUAGGGGAGACUGGAAUUCCUGGUGUAGCGGUGAAAUGCGUAGAUAUCUGGAGGAACACCGGUGGCGAAGGCGGCAUCCUGGACCAACACUGACACUGAGGAGCGAAAGCCAGGGGAGCAAACGGG
RNAcentral lists this ribosomal RNA (253 nucleotides) under uncultured bacterium. RNAcentral's name for it is "partial 16S ribosomal RNA". It matches the Rfam family "Bacterial small subunit ribosomal RNA", at positions 524 to 776 of the family's 1533-position model. The record is from RNAcentral.